GGGGAAUUUUGGACAAUGGGGGCAACCCUGAUCCAGCCAUGCCGCGUGAGUGAAGAAGGCCUUCGGGUUGUAAAGCUCUUUCGGCCGGGAAGAAAUCGUGCAGGCUAAUACCCUGUAUGGAUGACGGUACCGGAAUAAGAAGCACCGGCUAACUACGUGCCAGCAGCCGCGGUAAUACGUAGGGUGCGAGCGUUAAUCGGAAUUACUGGGCGUAAAGCGUGCGCAGGCGGAUCGUUAAGUCAGGGGUGAAAUCCUGGGGCUCAACCUCAGAACUGCCCUUGAUACUGGCGAUCUCGAGUUCGAGAGAGGUUGGGGGAACUCCGAGUGUAGAGGUGAAAUUCGUAGAUAUUCGGAAGAACACCAGUGGCGAAGGCGGCCAACUGGCUCGAUACUGACGCUGAGGUGCGAAAGCGUGGGGAGCAAACA
This 426-nucleotide ribosomal RNA is filed under the name uncultured Pseudomonadota bacterium. RNAcentral's name for it is "bacterial SSU rRNA". It matches the Rfam family "Bacterial small subunit ribosomal RNA", at positions 356 to 774 of the family's 1533-position model. The record is from RNAcentral. Lineage: Bacteria; Pseudomonadati; Pseudomonadota.